GCUGGACGUGGUGGUGGGCGCCUAUAGUCCCAGCUACUCAGGAGGCUGAGGCAGGAGAAUGGCGUGAACCCGGGAGGCAGAGCUUGCAGUGAGCCGAGAUCACGCACUGCACUCAGCCUGGUGACAGGCGAGACUUGUCUCCAAAGAAAAAAAAAAAAAAAAAGACAGAGUCUCGCUCUGUUGCCCAGGCUGGAGUGCAGUGGUGCUAUCUCAGCUCACUGCAGCCUCUGCCUCCCGGGUUCCAGCGAUUCUCCUGCCUCAG
RNAcentral lists this non-coding RNA (262 nucleotides) under Pan troglodytes (chimpanzee). Lineage: Eukaryota; Metazoa; Chordata; Mammalia; Primates; Hominidae. The record is from Rfam by way of RNAcentral.